Pezoporus flaviventris is the source of this 1796-nucleotide long non-coding RNA. RefSeq lists it as uncharacterized. The transcript is spliced from 3 exons. The record is from RefSeq and is a predicted model, not a curated record. NCBI's taxonomy places the organism in Eukaryota, Metazoa, Chordata, Aves, Psittaciformes, Psittacidae.
ACCGGGGACACAGCCGGGGUCGGAACCGGGGGCAGGACCCGGACCCGGACCCGGGGCUCCGUUCGCGGCACGAUGGGGCAGGCGGCGGCUGGAGGAGGGCAGCCGCGGACCCCGGCCCACAGGUCUUCCCCUCAGGCAGCGGCGUGAGGAGCCCGUUCCGCGCCGCGGGGGCUGGGAACCGGCAACACCGGGGUGGGUUUUUUAUUCGUUGUUUUCUUUCUCUUUAUUUUCCUCGCCCCCUCCCCUUCCUUGGGAAUCGCGUUGCUGCCUCUGCACGCACACAGCAGCCCCUCAGCGCGGGGCAGAGCUGCGCACACGCGUAGAGUCCCGCCGGUAAGCUGUGAGACAGGGUGAUGCUGUGCUGAAACGCGUGUUUGUAGCGGGUUUUGUACUGUUCUGAUGGGUUUGGGCUUAGUUUGUCUUCGGGGUUUUGGUUGAUUGGUUGGUAGUUGAUUGGUUGCUUAGUGUCUGCCCUUACAGACACUCGCAGCCCCCGGGGCCCACAGGCGGAGGCUGCAGCCAGGCGAUGGAGCAGUGCCUGUUGUACAUGGUGUUCUGCAGACCCACCUGCUCCUGCCCAAGGACUGAUGGUAACGUGGGUCUGGCUGCGCAGGAGUUCCAGAAACUGCUUUGCAUAACAGUUGUAUUUUCACAGGGUAAUCUUCCCUGUUAGCUGUGCGCUCCAGGGGUUUGGCAAUCGAUUGUUCGUACCUACACGGUUGUGCAGACUGGCUUCUCCAAGGCAAGGCUGUUGGGGAUGGUGCCUCUCGCUCUGCAGAGGCCAUCGCGCUUCAGGGCAAAGCGGCGCAGACUUAAAUCAGUCCACUUCUAAUUCGACUUUAUAAAUACAGUUGGGAGUGUAGUUCACUGUUCCACUGCCCUGCCUGAGGCCCUGCUGGAUGGGAGUGUGGUUGAUCCCAGUCUCAACCCAGGAGACUCCAUUGCAGGAGGACAGAAGCAUUUCUGCAGCCAUCAGCCUCCCUGCUGGUCCGUGGGAGCCCAAAGGACAUGAUCCAACAUGAUCUAGAGCUGCUUCCACGAGCACUGUGCAAGGACCAGGAAGUUACAGUGAAUCAGCUAAAGGUGAAACCAUGUUUAGGAUGUAAGUAACUGUGUGUCUCCUUCAGUCCAGAUUGCUGGAGUGGAAUUAGUUCUGUGAUUUUGGAGGUUGGAUGUUUGGUUUUCCUUAAUUUUCUUUUUUAAAGCAGUGGAAAAUAGGAUGAGUUUUAUGUGUGCAUGUAUCUAAAAAUACACAUACAUCCUCUGGAGUUCUGUUUGGGGUGAGGCACAAAUUUGCUGGGUUUAUUUUUGAUGUGAGCUCUCAUUAACUUUUAAAUCCAUUUGUUCUGACAGUAUUUCUUUAUGCUGCACUAGGAAAAAAUGGUGUAGCUGGUGACCAAGUUAUACAAGGAAGGAUUUGUUCAAUGACAGACACCAUUUUCAUUGCUGCCUGUCUCUGUUGUGUCAAAAAGCCUAGACUGAAAGUAUUGAAAGGCAAAGCCUGCUGUCAAAGGAGGGCAGAAACAGCCCAGAAAGGAGCAGGGGAAAGACCACAGCAGCAGGGGAAUCCCCCGACUCCAAAAAAGUGCUGUGUAUAAAACACAGUAUUAUGGAGUCUCUGCCCUUCCACCCACUGCUUUUUAUGAUGUUACUUAAACUAAACCUCUUAGCCUCCAUAUGAAGUAGGAUUUACUUUAUUUUGUAGACUGGUUAACUGUAUUGCAUAAACCCCAAGUGGACAUGCCAGAGGCUAGAGAGCUAGCCACUCUAGCUCGGAUUGGCUGGCAAGCACUACU